CUAAGGAUUUGCAUUCUCAUG
RNAcentral lists this non-coding RNA (21 nucleotides) under Arabidopsis thaliana (thale cress). The record is from RNAcentral. Lineage: Eukaryota; Viridiplantae; Streptophyta; Magnoliopsida; Brassicales; Brassicaceae.